This 1120-nucleotide long non-coding RNA is filed under the name Cyanistes caeruleus (blue tit). RNAcentral describes it as "lncRNA (ENSCCEG00000013425.1)". Lineage: Eukaryota; Metazoa; Chordata; Aves; Passeriformes; Paridae. The record is from RNAcentral.
AUGGUUUGGUGUAAGCACAGCAAUUCUCACCUCUUUCUCUCCCUUUUAAGUCUCUUGAGCUUGGAGACCUCUUUCCUCAUUGCAAUUAUGAUUAUUUGCAACAUCAGUGCCAUCAAAGAUUGGAGCACUUUCCUUUCCCAAAUCCUCCCCAGCGUUAACAAGACUCUGAACUUGGUACAGCAAGUGGAAGCCACCACCAGCUCGGUGGUAAGUGUCCUCCAGGACCCCGAGCAGGACAGCUACCUGUCCAAUAGCCAGUCCAUGAACUCCAGCAACUUCACAGCUGGCCUGGACCACUUGUUCCAGUACUCAUACUCGGACAAUGAUCAGCUCUACAAGGAGUACAAACCCCCUCCUCGAGAUGCCAUUCCUCUGCCCAAGGCUGUCCUCUACCUUCUCAUGGCAGCCCUGGUGGUGGUGGCAGUGGCGUAUGCCAUCGUCGGCCAUCUCAUCAAGGACCUCAUUUACGACUUUGUAGAUGCUUCUUGAAAAAUCAAUUAGAGUUUGCCCAGGCAUCCCCAGGGGCACAUGAGCACUGUGGGCCAGGGAGGAGUGAGAAUGGGAGGCUGCAUUGGAGAAGGAGGAAAGAUGCAAUGUUGGAGAGUGGGAAGGCAGAGCACUUGGAUAUGGAUAAGUGGGCUCUGAAAGAGCCCCUCUUCAGCUCUUCCUGGCCCAGGAGAGCCCCACCACCUUCAUUUCUCUCCAGUCCCUCCUGCUUGCUCCGAGCUGACCAAGUCUCAAUUUGGCUUGCCCAAAACUCAUCAGAUGUCCCUGCCUGGGGUUGGACUCAAGCCGAGGAGGGUGGGAGGGAGCCUCCUGCGUGAGCACAGCUCAAACCCCACCACCAGUUCAGGCAAAUUGGGUCGAAGCAUUUGGAAAGCUGCUUAACUCGGAAGCGCUGGAGAGCUGCCAGAGCCGGCGCUGCGGCGAAGAGCUGGCUUGGCAAAUGACAAGCCUGUCACCAACGUACGAGGCUCCUAAUUACUGCAAUCCUUGGGAAUCAGCCCGCCCUCCCUCCUCCGUCCCCAGCAGCUCGCUGAAUAUCGCUCCUAUUUAAACAUUAAAAAAAAAAAAAAAAAUGAGGAAAAGGGGGAAAAAAUAAAAAGUUUGACGGGAAACA